UACGUAGGGUGCAAGCGUUAAUCGGAAUUACUGGGCGUAAAGCGUGCGCAGGCGGUGAUGUAAGACAGAUGUGAAAUCCCCGGGCUCAACCUGGGAACUGCAUUUGUGACUGCAUCGCUGGAGUACGGCAGAGGGGGAUGGAAUUCCGCGUGUAGCAGUGAAAUGCGUAGAUAUGCGGAGGAACACCGAUGGCGAAGGCAAUCCCCUGGGCCUGUACUGACGCUGAGGAACGAAAGCGUGGGGAGCGAACAGG
RNAcentral lists this ribosomal RNA (253 nucleotides) under uncultured bacterium. RNAcentral's name for it is "partial 16S ribosomal RNA". It matches the Rfam family "Bacterial small subunit ribosomal RNA", at positions 524 to 776 of the family's 1533-position model. The record is from RNAcentral.